This is a long non-coding RNA of Halichondria panicea, 741 nucleotides long. RefSeq lists it as uncharacterized. The transcript has 2 exons. NCBI's taxonomy places the organism in Eukaryota, Metazoa, Porifera, Demospongiae, Suberitida, Halichondriidae. The record is from RefSeq and is a predicted model, not a curated record.
CUCGAUCCCAGGCCGAGUUUUCGCUUUUAUAACGGUUAGGCGAACAACUGGGCCUGGUACUAGUUGUCUGCGCAUGUGUCAAUCGUUUGUCAGAUUCUGACAAAUGGAUAUUCUCGUUCACUUUCGUGACAUUUAUAUUCGUGUACUAUCGUGUACUAGAAGUCAGUUCCCGUUUUAUCAUUAUUGGAAUCGAUUGGAAUGGCUCUUAGCUGAAGCUUCUCUCUUCUCUGAAGCUUAUUCUGAAGACUAAACAACAAGGGAAGAGGUAUAAAGCUUUGUCAAGCUUGUUAAGGAGCAAUGGCUAAUAUCCAGCUAUCCCAACAGUGCUGCUCCUCUUGGCUAUACUAACGGACGAGACUGGACAGUUUGAGGUAAGGGUUUAACCGUCUUUGGUUUCUUUUAAUAUUGUCCUAUACUCACAGACACAGGACUGGAGUUUGACCUGCUCAUUUGAGCGUUGCUGGGUAGCUCAGAGACAUCAAGAGAAUCUACGUUUUCUCAAGUAAUGAGUUACGAGUUGGGGCCUAGAAUCAGAGAAGUCCAGCAGCCUGCUAAAUCUUUUUGAAACGUAAUUUGAAGGCAUUCAAUCAUCCUGAAGUUGCCCUGGGUCACUGUAAUUGUGCUGCAGCACAACUGGCAACUCCCCAGGCCUUUGUGAAGCAGCUCCCUAUGUGCAUCUUUUGUGUACUCACUCUGUGCAUUUUCUGUGUACAAAUUUCAAUUAUUGAUUUAUUAAAUAUU